Molecule: ribosomal RNA, 1069 nt
Filed under: Plasmodium knowlesi
Lineage: Eukaryota; Apicomplexa; Aconoidasida; Haemosporida; Plasmodiidae
Description: SSU rRNA
Rfam family: Eukaryotic small subunit ribosomal RNA
Source: RNAcentral
CAAAAAAGCGAAUUCCAAUAUAUGUUUUCUGCUUUAUGUGCGCAUCCUCUACCUAUUAAGUGUUAAUUAAAUUAAAGGGUUUCUUUUUAAAAUCUUCUAUAACUAAUAAAAAAAUAUGGAAGAUUUUGUUACUUUGAGUAAAUUAGAGUGUUCAAAGCAAACAGAUAUAUAGCAUUUGUGCGUUUGAAUACUACAGCAUGGAAUAACAAAAUUGAACAGGUCAAAACUAUGUUUCUUUUUUUUUAUUUUUGGCUUAGUUACGAUUAAUAGGAGUAGUUUGGGGACAUUUGUAUUCAGAUGUCAGAGGUGAAAUUCUAAGAUUUUCUGGAGACAAACAACUGCGAAGGCAUUUGUCUAAAAUACUUCCAUUAAUCAAGAACGAAAGUUAAGGGAGUGAAGACGAUCAGAUACCGUCGUAAUCUUAACCAUAAACUAUACCGACUAGGUUUUGGAUGAAAGUAAAACAAAUAAGGAUAGUCUCUUCGGGGAUAGUUCUUAGAUUUCUUCCUUCAGUACCUUAUGAGAAAUCAAAGUCUUUGGGUUCUGGGGCGAGUAUUCGCGCAAGCGAGAAAGUUAAAAGAAUUGACGGAAGGGCACCACCAGGCGUGGAGCUUGCGGCUUAAUUUGACUCAACACGGGAAAACUCACUAGUUUAAGACAAGAGUAGGAUUGACAGAUUAAUAGCUCUUUCUUGAUUUCUUGGAUGGUGAUGCAUGGCCGUUUUUAGUUCGUGAAUAUGAUUUGUCUGGUUAAUUCCGAUAACGAACGAGAUCUUAACCUGCUAAUUAGCAGUAAGUACAACAUAUUUCUAUGCUGAAUUUGUAUUUGGAUAAUUUAAAAGGUUUCUUUGCCGUGCAUAUAAUGAGUACGGAAAAAAUGCAUACUGCUACCUUGUACCUAAUAAUACUUGGCGCCUAUGCAUAUUUCCAACCCUCUAUUCCCUGUACCGCAUAAAACUGGAUUAUGAUGCCAUUUCACUUUUAUGUAGAAAUGUAUUUGCUUUUACAUAAAGCUUCUUAGAGGAACGAUGUGUGUCUAACACAAGGAAGUUUAAGGCAACCACCAGGAA